Molecule: transfer RNA, 64 nt
Filed under: Brentidae sp. GENSP01
Lineage: Eukaryota; Metazoa; Arthropoda; Insecta; Coleoptera; Brentidae
Description: tRNA-Pro
Source: RNAcentral
CAGAAAGUAGUUUAUAAAAAUAUUAAUUUUGGAGAUUAAAGUAAAAGAAAUUCUUUUUUUCUGA